CAGAGUUAUCAAAAACUCCCAACCCUUUGUGAACCGUACCGUCGUUGCCUCGGCGCAGAACCUGGAGCCGCUUCUCGGAGAAGCUACCCUGGAGCUGAUUACCCUGUAAGAAGCUACCCUCGAGAGCUACCCGGGACCGCCUUCCAGCCGCGUCAGAGGACCUACCCUAAACCCUUUAUUUUUUCUUACCGUGUCUUUCUGAGUGACCGAAAAAAAAAGUUA
RNAcentral lists this unclassified non-coding RNA (222 nucleotides) under uncultured Xylariales. Its description in RNAcentral is "sequence contains ITS1". Lineage: Eukaryota; Fungi; Ascomycota; Sordariomycetes; Xylariales. The record is from RNAcentral.